RNAcentral lists this ribosomal RNA (447 nucleotides) under Streptococcus mitis. RNAcentral's name for it is "bacterial SSU rRNA". It matches the Rfam family "Bacterial small subunit ribosomal RNA", at positions 38 to 471 of the family's 1533-position model. Lineage: Bacteria; Bacillati; Bacillota; Bacilli; Lactobacillales; Streptococcaceae. The record is from RNAcentral.
GGCGGCGUGCCUAAUACAUGCAAGUAGAACGCUGAAGGAGGAGCUUGCUUCUCCGGAUGAGUUGCGAGCGGGUGAGUAACGCGUAGGUAACCUGCCUGGUAGCGGGGGAUAACUAUUGGAAACGAUAGCUAAUACCGCAUAAGAGUAGAUGUUGCAUGACGUUUGCUUAAAAGGUGCAAUUGCAUCACUACCAGAUGGACCUGCGUUGUAUUAGCUAGUUGGUGAGGUAACGGCUCACCAAGGCAACGAUACAUAGCCGACCUGAGAGGGUGAUCGGCCACACUGGGACUGAGACACGGCCCAGACUCCUACGGGAGGCAGCAGUAGGGAAUCUUCGGCAAUGGACGGAAGUCUGACCGAGCAACGCCGCGUGAGUGAAGAAGGUUUUCGGAUCGUAAAGCUCUGUUGUAAGAGAAGAACGAGUGUGAGAGUGGAAAGUUCACACUG